This 162-nucleotide ribosomal RNA is filed under the name Entrophospora etunicata. Its description in RNAcentral is "Claroideoglomus etunicatum ribosomal RNA". Lineage: Eukaryota; Fungi; Glomeromycota; Glomeromycetes; Entrophosporales; Entrophosporaceae. The record is from RNAcentral.
CAGUCGCGUCUGCUGGGACUCAGCCUUGCUUCUGCUUGGUGCACUUCUCAGUAGAUGGGCCAGCAUCAAUUUUGGGCGCCGGAAAAGGUUAGGGAUGUGGCUCCUUCGGGAGUGUUAUAACCCUUAGCGGAAUGUGGCGAUUGGGAUUGGAGGUUUGCAACG